This 401-nucleotide unclassified non-coding RNA is filed under the name soil metagenome. RNAcentral's name for it is "partial contains 5.8S ribosomal RNA, internal transcribed spacer 2, and large subunit ribosomal RNA". The stretch from base 1 to 121 matches the Rfam family "5.8S ribosomal RNA", at positions 35 to 154 of the family's 154-position model. The record is from RNAcentral.
GAUGAAGAACGUAGCGAAAUGCGAUACGUAAUGUGAAUUGCAGAAUUCAGUGAAUCAUCGAAUCUUUGAACGCACCUUGCGCCCUUUGGCCAUUCCGAAGGGCAUGCCUGUUUGAGUAUCAUGAACACCUCAACUCUCAUGGCUUGCCAUGAUGAGCUUGGACUUUGGGGGUCUUGCUGGCCUGUGGUCGGCUCCUCUCAAAUGAAUCAGCUUGCCAGUGUUUGGUGGCAUCACAAGUGUGAUAACUAUCUGCGCUCGUGGUUUCCAUCAGAUAACCUCCAGUGAUGGAGGUUCGCUGGAGCUCAUAAAUGUCUCUCCUAAGCGAGGACAGCUCUUUUAAUGUUUGAUCUCAAAUCAGGUAGGACUACCCGCUGAACUUAAGCAUAUCAAUAAGCGGAGGA